This 237-nucleotide non-coding RNA is filed under the name Levilactobacillus brevis. RNAcentral's name for it is "Lactobacillus brevis T-box sequence". It matches the Rfam family "T-box leader". From Rfam's summary of the family: Uncharged tRNA acts as the effector for transcription antitermination of genes in the T-box leader family. T-boxes are found upstream of many aminoacyl-tRNA synthetase genes and some amino acid biosynthetic genes usually in Gram-positive bacteria. Lineage: Bacteria; Bacillati; Bacillota; Bacilli; Lactobacillales; Lactobacillaceae. The record is from RNAcentral.
AUUGACGUGUUGAGCGAAUGAGUAAGUUUUUAUUGGUUUUAAGAGAGCCGGAGUUGCUGAAAACCGGUAUCUGAUAAUGACUGAAUAUGGUUCGUGAGCGUAUACACCAUAUCGACUAGUUUAGGUAUGAUCGGCUGCCGCCGUUAUCCGGUUUGAGAAAGUUAAUUUCUUACUGAGGGGUUUCUUUGUGAAAAGGAACCCGAACAAAGGUGGCAACACGUGAAAAACGUCCUUAUG